Andrographis paniculata is the source of this 104-nucleotide small nucleolar RNA. RefSeq annotates it as small nucleolar RNA snoR97. The record is from RefSeq and is a predicted model, not a curated record. NCBI's taxonomy places the organism in Eukaryota, Viridiplantae, Streptophyta, Magnoliopsida, Lamiales, Acanthaceae. The transcript has a single exon.
CAAAAAAAUUUUGUUUGAAGGCCCGAUUAACUCAUAGAUCAAUUGUGCUGUUUAUCAGCUUAUUUCUCUUUUUGAGAUUGGAGUUAAAUGGCAGCGCAAUAUUU